GAUGAACGCUGGCGGCGUGCCUAAUACAUGCAAGUCGAGCGAACGGACGAGAAGCUUGCUUCUCUGAUGUUAGCGGCGGACGGGUGAGUAACACGUGGAUAACCUACCUAUAAGACUGGGAUAACUUCGGGAAACCGGAGCUAAUACCGGAUAAUAUUUUGAACCGCAUGGUUCAAAAGUGAAAGACGGUCUUGCUGUCACUUAUAGAUGGAUCCGCGCUGCAUUAGCUAGUUGGUAAGGUAACGGCUUACCAAGGCAACGAUGCAUAGCCGACCUGAGAGGCGGAUAGCCCACAGGGGCGUGGAGCCGGGGCCGGACCUCCGAGGGGGGGCACCAGAGGGAAUUUUUCCCAAAGGGCCAAGAGCAGGACAAGACACCCCCGCGGGAGUGUGAGGGUUUUAAGAAGCGUAAAACUUUUUUUUAGGGAAAAAACAAGUGUGAAAUACCAUUUACAACUCUUAAGGAUCCCAAAGAAGAAGGCCAGGCCUAACACGGUG
RNAcentral lists this ribosomal RNA (497 nucleotides) under uncultured bacterium. RNAcentral describes it as "partial 16S ribosomal RNA". It matches the Rfam family "Bacterial small subunit ribosomal RNA", at positions 28 to 507 of the family's 1533-position model. The record is from RNAcentral.